RNAcentral lists this non-coding RNA (32 nucleotides) under Rattus norvegicus (Norway rat). Lineage: Eukaryota; Metazoa; Chordata; Mammalia; Rodentia; Muridae. The record is from RNAcentral.
UCUGCUUUGAUAAGUAAAAUAUUCACCUCAGU